RNAcentral lists this transfer RNA (72 nucleotides) under Ovis aries (sheep). It matches the Rfam family "tRNA". Rfam says of the family: Transfer RNA (tRNA) molecules are approximately 80 nucleotides in length. Lineage: Eukaryota; Metazoa; Chordata; Mammalia; Artiodactyla; Bovidae. The record is from Rfam by way of RNAcentral.
UCCUGGGUAGCUCAGUUGGUAAAGCAUCUCCCUGCAAUGUGGGAGACCUGGGUUCAAUUCCUGGGUUGGGAA